CCUANGGGAGGCUGCAGUCGAGGAUCAUUCGCAAUGGGCGAAAGCCUGACGAUGCGACGCCGUGUGAGUGAAGAAGGCCUUCGGGUCGUAAAGCUCUUUCGCUUGGGAACAAGAGAGUAUCACAAAUAGUGGUAUGAUUUGAGUGUACUAGGUAAAGAAGCACCGGCUAACUCCGUGCCAGCAGCUGCGGUAAUACGGAGGGUGCAAGCAUUAAUCGGAUUUAUUGGGCGUAAAGGGCGCGUAGGCGGCUUUGCAAGUCAGAUGUGAAAUUCCGUGACUCAAUUGCGGAGCUACAUUUAAAACUACAAAGCUUGAGGUUAGGCGGAGAAAAUGGAAUUCCACGUGUAGCGGUGAAAUGCGUAGAUAUGUGGAGGAACACCAGAGGCGAAGGCGGUUUUCUAGCCUAAACCAGACGCUGAGGCGCGAAAGCAAGGGGAUCAAACAGGAUUAGAUACCCCANUANUC
This 465-nucleotide ribosomal RNA is filed under the name uncultured bacterium. Its description in RNAcentral is "bacterial SSU rRNA". It matches the Rfam family "Bacterial small subunit ribosomal RNA", at positions 338 to 795 of the family's 1533-position model. The record is from RNAcentral.